AAGGUCAAGUCAUAUGCAGAUAAUUUCAAAUUUAAGGGUUUUCCCAAAACGGAGGACAAUUGAUUGUAUUUCUCGCCUACUCUGUUUCGUGGUUCUACAAGACAAGUGCAAAAUAGUUUGCAAUUUUUGUCACUGCACAUUUUCUGCAUGUGGCAAUAGUAUUCUUUCUGUCAAAACCUUUGUCCCAAUUGAACUCUUCUCAUAAUAAAAGGGAUUAAUGGUCUGCACUUUUGCAAUUUUUUUUUUUUUAAAAGAAAAAU
Molecule: unclassified non-coding RNA, 260 nt
Filed under: Hevea brasiliensis (rubber tree)
Lineage: Eukaryota; Viridiplantae; Streptophyta; Magnoliopsida; Malpighiales; Euphorbiaceae
Source: RNAcentral